CAGCCGCCACGGUAAUACGGAGGGUGCAAGCGUUAAUCGGAAUUACUGGGCGUAAAGCGCACGCAGGCGGUUUGUUAAGUCAGAUGUGAAAUCCCCGAGCUUAACUUGGGAACUGCAUUUGAAACUGGCAAGCUAGAGUCUUGUAGAGGGGGGUAGAAUUCCAGGUGUAGCGGUGAAAUGCGUAGAGAUCUGGAGGAAUACCGGUGGCGAAGGCGGCCCCCUGGACAAAGACUGACGCUCAGGUGCGAAAGCGUGGGGAGCAAACAGGAUUAGAUACCCCGGUAGUCCCUGUCUCUUAUAC
Molecule: ribosomal RNA, 301 nt
Filed under: uncultured bacterium
Lineage: Bacteria
Description: partial 16S ribosomal RNA
Rfam family: Bacterial small subunit ribosomal RNA
Source: RNAcentral